AGUGAACGCUGGCGGCGUGCUUAACACAUGCAAGUCGAACGAGAACGGGUUAUAGCUUGCUAUAAUUGUCAGCUAAGUGGCGCACGGGUGAGUAAUGUAUAGGUAAUGUGCCUCUUACUAAGGGAUAACAAUUGGAAACGAUUGCUAAUACCUUAUACUCCUUAUUAACAGAAGUUAAUAAGGGAAAGAUUUAUUGGUAAGAGAUUAGCCUGUAUUGUAUCAGUUAGUUGGUGGGGUAAUGGCUUACCAAGACUAUGACACAUAACUGGUUUGAGAUGAUGACCAGUCACACUGGAACUGAGACACGGUCCAGACUCCUACGGGAGGCAGCAGUGGGGAAUAUUGCACAAUGGACGAAAGUCUGAUGCAGCAACGCCGCGUGGAGGAUGACACAUUUCGGUGCGUAAACUCCUUUUAUAUGAGAAGAUAAUGACGGUAUUAUAUGAAUAAGCACCGGCUAACUCCGUGCCAGCCGCCGCAGUAA
This 484-nucleotide ribosomal RNA is filed under the name uncultured bacterium. RNAcentral describes it as "partial 16S ribosomal RNA". It matches the Rfam family "Bacterial small subunit ribosomal RNA", at positions 29 to 523 of the family's 1533-position model. The record is from RNAcentral.